UCUGCCCAAGGGGCAGAUUCCCCUUCAGCACAGACUGUACCCAAGACAUGGCCGUUCCUUCAAGGCAAGGAGAGCAUACCUAUCUCUCAGACAGACUGGUCCUCAAAGAAAACAGAAACUAGAGCAUCAGAUUGGAGAGAGAUACAGAAAGCUGCCGCCUCGCAUUUGGAUAUUAGGGAGACACAGAAGACGGGCUUCUUGAAUCCUUGAGAUGCAGAGGCCUCUUAAAACCCAAGGCAGGAAAGUGUUCUUGCCAAAUCCCUUCUGAGUUCACUCCCUCAUUUCAUUUACCUCACCUCACCUGCCCAGCCACCCCACAAAAGAGCACCUGCCAGCACCUCUGCUUUCAUUUUCUGCUAUAGGGUCCUCCUGGCACUUACCACCACCUACCAUGUUCUAGAUCCACCCAUUGGCCAAUUCUCUGUCUCCUCCCACGAGCAGGUAAGCUCUGCGAGGCAGGGAUCUCUGUCUGUCCUCUUCUCUGCUACAGCCUCGUAUUCUGAAACAGCGCUUGGCACACAGAGUAAGUGCUUCAUAAACAUUAGCAGAAUGAAUGAGUGGCUUGAGUAUGACAAGAACUAUAUUGAAUAGGAAGAAGAAAAUCCAUGGAACUUGAGGGAAGAAGAAUGCCGUCUGGGUGAUCGCUUCUUCUCUAUCCCAGGCACACAUUUAUGUGUCUCUUGAAUCUUUGGUGAGAAGGAGCGAGGGUCCAAAAUCAUUGUCAGCUGGGUUCUUGGCACAUAAGUUUGUAUCUAGUUCUCGUGCCAGUGUAGACUGGGGCACCAAUAACGUAUCAUGCCAAAGCCUUCACUAAGUCUAAAGAAAAGAUCUCCCUCUAGAUGCUGUAACAAAACCAAGCCAUGUCUGGGUAGACCCCAAAUGACUCCUGGGGUCCAGACCCAGGUGCCCAGAGUGGGGCACCACCAGGACCUCCUCUGCACCCCAAGAAGAAAACACCCCCUCCUUGACUGCAGCGUCCUGGACACGGGUGUCUCACAUGCGUCUCCUGAUUCUGCCCCCUAGUGGCAGAGAUGCAGCAGAGCCGCCCACGUGCCAUUCUUUUCUCCAGCAAGAAGGUGUUGAGCAUCUGCCACUUGCUGGUCUUGAGUCCCCAAAGAUUUGUUGACUGCAACGUGCCAGGCGCGGAGAAGGAGCUGAGCCAAAGAACAAAGGCAACAAUAACACAGUUCCUCUCCUCGUGGCCCCCACAGUGCAGCCGCGGAGGUGGCAAUUAAACAAACCCUUCUCGUUUGCUUUCCAGUGUAGCUGCAGUGGAGACAAGAGCCAUGGAGGAGACAGACAGAGAGCAUGAGGGUGUUUAAAUUCAGGAAAGUCUCCCCCAAGGAUGUGAUGUCCAACCUGAUACCUAAAGAAGAGGUGAGAGCCAUCCAGGCCAAAAGGGGAGAAGGAGAUUAUGAAGUCUGAAGGUCUGGGGCAGGAGGGCAGGGACAGGUAUCUCACUCCUGGCUGCAGGUGCACGAGCCCACCUUUACCCACAAUGCUCAGCAACCAGGAAGUGCAGGUGUCAGAAGUUUCUGCCUUCCUGAGAUUUGACCAAGAAACAUAUAAUCUUCCAACCCCGGAGAUUGAAAACUUUUGUUAAAAUAUCUUUACCCUAUAACUGCGCUAACAGCUUCUUGCAGCACUGAAGGGUGACUGGGGACAUUUUAGGGCCGAGGACUCCUCAUUCUCAACCUGUAGAUAAACAGGACUGUCACCACUGGAAGAGUUGAGCACUGUCUCCACGCCAGCAUUUCAGGGCCGCUAAGGACACCGCCUAACACCCAUAAGCCUUGGAGUUCAGAAGACACACGUUCCAGUCCCAGCUCUGCCCCACGCUGGCUGGGGAACCUUAGGCAAGCCAUCAAACCACCCUAGGCCACAGUUGCCUCUACUUCUUAGAAUCCUUGAACUGUCAAAAGAUGAUCAGGAUCCUCCAACCGAGCCCCAGCUGACACCGCUGAUCCUCCCACCAGCCUCCGCCUUCCCGCCAGCCUCCGAGCGUCUCCACGGCCCCUCCCGAAACCACGGCAGAUGCAUUCUUCAGAUGCACGGCCUCCCCACCCACCCGGCCCUUAUCUCAGUCUGCUUCCCAGCUUAAAAUAAGUUUCCAAAAACCCUCUUUUGAAAGCAGCCUCCUUCGCUGCAAUAAUACCCAGGCUGGGUUUCCAACUAUUGUCUCACCAAACCAGGGACCGCAUUUGACUACAUCACCUCCCAGCCUGCAUCAGCGGGCCUUUGAUGGCAAAUAUCUUAUCUAUGAUCGGUUUGCUGGGUUAUGGACCCAAAUUUCCUCUGCUGAAACAUCAGACCGGGAGAGGCUUCGCUGACGCCGACCCGCAGCAAUGCCGCGGUGCUUCAAUAAGCCUCCGAGACCGUUUCCUAGAACUCUUCAAAGCCCGAGAGAGCCUGGGUUCCAAUCCACCAGCUUGGGGCAAAACUAAAUUUAAAUUUUAUUGCAAAACACUGUAAGGUGACUAUUAGUGUUAAGCAAGCUAAUAGAGAUAAUUUCGACAAACAGCCACUGUAAGCCUACUAUGCUCCAGCUGUGUGCAAUGGCCAGAGACUCUGUCUGUAUGUGUCUUUACACACAGUGGGACUACUAGGAGAAAAAAAAUGAAAAAUAAAUUAUGUGCCAUUGGAUGUGAUAAGUGCAAUAUACUGUGAGUGCGUGAAAGGGACUCAGCUGACCAGCUGACAGGGUGAUGCCUGAGCUGUGUUUUUUGUUAAACACUUGAGUAGGGUCUUUUCUUAAUUAAAAAUUAUGUUUAAAAACCCCCACUGCUGUGUCUCUGUCCCCUCAUCUGUGAAAGAUGGCUAAUAGUACUUGUCGCAUAGAAUUGUCGUGAAGUUUAAUGUUUCCCAAUGUUAAUAAGCAUAGAACAGUGCCUGGAAUAUACCAAGCAGACACCACCCUAAGUGCUUUAUUAUACACUUGUGAUUUUUACCCUCAAGACAGCCUCAUGAAGAAGGAACUAUUAUCUUCAUUUUACAAGGGAGGAAGCUGAGGCUUCAGGAGUGGAAGAUUGUUCACAGCACAAAUGCAGAAGGGACAAGUGGAUGGCACAGACAGGCCUUUGAAAUGAGGUGAAGAAAGAGAAUCUGCUGGCUGGACUAUCCCUGGAAGGCUUCCUGGAAGAGGUGGCAUGGCAUCCGGGCUUUAAAGAACAAGGAAAGUGUGGAACAGCCUUUUCAGAAUAGUUACAGUGGGGAUGAAGGCAGAGAGUUGAGAAGAUGGAUGAAUGCUACGGAAUGCGAAGACCAGUGUCGCAGGGGCCUGAUCUGUCCUGGGCCUCGAAUGCUUUGCCAAGGUGUCUGGAGAUGCUUCCCUGGCAGCGGCGAGUCCAUCGAGGC
Molecule: non-coding RNA, 3354 nt
Organism: Microcebus murinus (gray mouse lemur)
Lineage: Eukaryota; Metazoa; Chordata; Mammalia; Primates; Cheirogaleidae
Source: RefSeq, a predicted model, not a curated record